CCUGGCUCAGGAUGAACGCUAGCGGCAGGCUUAACACAUGCAAGUCGAGGGGUAGAGGAAGCUUGCUUCCUUGAGACCGGCGCACGGGUGCGUAACGCGUAUACAAUCUACCUUUACAGAGGGAUAGCCCAGAGUAAAUUGGAUUAAUACCUCAUAGUAUUUUCGAAUCGCAUGGUUUGAUUAUUAAAGUUCCAACGGUAAAAGAUGAGUAUGCGUCCCAUUAGCUAGAUGGUAAGGUAACGGCUUACCAUGGCAAUGAUGGGUAGGGGUCCUGAGAGGGAGAUCCCCCACACUGGUACUGAGACACGGACCAGACUCCUACGGGAGGCAGCAGUGAGGAAUAUUGGACAAUGGGCGCAAGCCUGAUCCAGCCAUGCCGCGUGCAGGAAGACGGUCCUAUGGAUUGUAAACUGCUUUUAUACAGGAAGAAACACUCCCUCGUGAGGGAACUUGACGGUACUGUAUGAAUAAGCAUCGGCUAACUCUGUG
RNAcentral lists this ribosomal RNA (489 nucleotides) under uncultured bacterium. RNAcentral describes it as "bacterial SSU rRNA". It matches the Rfam family "Bacterial small subunit ribosomal RNA", at positions 18 to 507 of the family's 1533-position model. The record is from RNAcentral.